This 336-nucleotide unclassified non-coding RNA is filed under the name soil metagenome. Its description in RNAcentral is "partial contains 5.8S ribosomal RNA, internal transcribed spacer 2, and large subunit ribosomal RNA". The stretch from base 1 to 120 matches the Rfam family "5.8S ribosomal RNA", at positions 35 to 154 of the family's 154-position model. The record is from RNAcentral.
GAUGAAGAACGUAGCGAAAUGCGAUAAGUAAUGUGAAUUGCAGAAUUCAGUGAAUCAUCGAAUCUUUGAACGCACAUUGCGCCAGCCAGUAGUCUGGCGGGCAUGCCUGUUCGAGCGUCAUUUCAACCAUCAAGCCCCCGGCUUGUGUUGGGGACCUGCGGCUGCCGCAGGCCCUGAAAACCAGUGGCGGGCUCGCUAGUCACUCCGAGCGUAGUAAUACAUCUCGCUCAGGGCGUGCUGCGGGUUCCGGCCGUUAAAAAAGCCUUAUUUACCCAAGGUUGACCUCGGAUCAGGUAGGAAGACCCGCUGAACUUAAGCAUAUCAAUAAGCGGAGGA